GACGAACGCUGGCGGCGUGCUUAACACAUGCAAGUCGAACGGAAAGGCCCUGCUUUUGUGGGGUGCUCGAGUGGCGAACGGGUGAGUAACACGUGAGUAACCUGCCCUUGACUUUGGGAUAACUUCAGGAAACUGGGGCUAAUACCGGAUAGGAGCUCCUGCUGCAUGGUGGGGGUUGGAAAGUUUCGGCGGUUGGGGAUGGACUCGCGGCUUAUCAGCUUGUUGGUGGGGUAGUGGCUUACCAAGGCUUUGACGGGUAGCCGGCCUGAGAGGGUGACCGGCCACAUUGGGACUGAGAUACGGCCCAGACCCCUACGGGAGGCGGCAGUGGGGAAUAUUGCACAAUGGGCGGAAGCCUGAUGCAGCAACGCCGCGUGCGGGAUGACGGCCUUCGGGUUGUAAACCGCUUUCGCCUGUGACGAAGCGUGAGUGACGGUAAUGGGUAAAGAAGCACCGGCUAACUACGUG
Molecule: ribosomal RNA, 468 nt
Filed under: uncultured bacterium
Lineage: Bacteria
Description: partial 16S ribosomal RNA
Rfam family: Bacterial small subunit ribosomal RNA
Source: RNAcentral